This 483-nucleotide ribosomal RNA is filed under the name uncultured bacterium. RNAcentral's name for it is "partial 16S ribosomal RNA". It matches the Rfam family "Bacterial small subunit ribosomal RNA", at positions 30 to 507 of the family's 1533-position model. The record is from RNAcentral.
UUGAACGCUGGCGGCAGGCCUAACACAUGCAAGUCGAGCGGAUGAAGGGAGCUUGCUCCUGGAUUCAGCGGCGGACGGGUGAGUAAUGCCUAGGAAUCUGCCUGGUGGUGGGGGAUAACGUCCGGAAACGGGCGCUAAUACCGCAUACGUCCUGAGGGAGAAAGUGGGGGAUCUUCGGACCUCACGCUAUCAGAUGAGCCUAGGUCGGAUUAGCUAGUUGGUGGGGUAAAGGCCUACCAAGGCGACGAUCCGUAACUGGUCUGAGAGGAUGAUCAGUCACACUGGAACUGAGACACGGUCCAGACCCCUACGGGAGGCAGCAGUGGGGAAUAUUGGACAAUGGGCGAAAGCCUGAUCCAGCCAUGCCGCGUGUGUGAAGAAGGUCUUCGGAUUGUAAAGCACUUUAAGUUGGGAGGAAGGGCAGUAAGUUAAUACCUUGCUGUUUUGACGUUACCAACAGAAUAAGCACCGGCUAACUUCGUG